UAGAGUUUGAUCAUGGCUCAGAUUGAACGCUGGCGGCAGGCCUAACACAUGCAAGUCGAGCGGAAACGAUGGAAGCUUGCUUCCAGGCGUCGAGCGGCGGACGGGUGAGUAAUGCAUGGGAAUCUGCCCGAUAGUGGGGGAUAACCUGGGGAAACCCAGGCUAAUACCGCAUACGUCCUACGGGAGAAAGCAGGGGAUCUUCGGACCUUGCGCUAUCGGAUGAGCCCAUGUCGGAUUAGCUUGUUGGUGAGGUAAUGGCUCACCAAGGCGACGAUCCGUAGCUGGUCUGAGAGGAUGAUCAGCCACAUCGGGACUGAGACACGGCCCGAACUCCUACGGGAGGCAGCAGUGGGGAAUAUUGGACAAUGGGCGAAAGCCUGAUCCAGCCAUGCCGCGUGUGUGAAGAAGGCCCUCGGGUUGUAAAGCACUUUCAGUGGGGAAGAAAGCCUUGGGAUUAAUACUCCCGAGGAAGGACAUCACCCACAGAGAGCCG
RNAcentral lists this ribosomal RNA (493 nucleotides) under Halomonas sp. M4-C3. Its description in RNAcentral is "bacterial SSU rRNA". It matches the Rfam family "Bacterial small subunit ribosomal RNA", at positions 1 to 492 of the family's 1533-position model. Lineage: Bacteria; Pseudomonadati; Pseudomonadota; Gammaproteobacteria; Oceanospirillales; Halomonadaceae. RNAcentral also lists the same sequence under 1 other name. The record is from RNAcentral.